AACGAACGCUGGCGGCAUGCCUAACACAUGCAAGUCGAACGAUGCCUUCAGGCAUAGUGGCGCACGGGUGCGUAACGCGUGGGAAUCUGCCUUUCGGUUCGGAAUAACUCAGGGAAACUUGAGCUAAUACCGGAUAACGUCGCAAGACCAAAGAUUUAUCACCGAAAGAUGAGCCCGCGUAGGAUUAGCUAGUUGGUGAGGUAAAGGCUCACCAAGGCGACGAACCUUAGCUGGUCUGAGAGGAUGAUCAGCCACACUGGGACUGAGACACGGCCCAGACUCCUACGGGAGGCAGCAGUGGGGAAUAUUGGACAAUGGGCGAAAGCCUGAUCCAGCAAUGCCGCGUGAGUGAUGAAGGCCUUAGGGUUGUAAAGCUCUUUUACCCGGGAAGAUAAUGACGGUACCGGGAGAAUAAGCCCCGGCUAACUCCGUG
RNAcentral lists this ribosomal RNA (433 nucleotides) under uncultured bacterium. Its description in RNAcentral is "partial 16S ribosomal RNA". It matches the Rfam family "Bacterial small subunit ribosomal RNA", at positions 29 to 507 of the family's 1533-position model. The record is from RNAcentral.